RNAcentral lists this long non-coding RNA (3032 nucleotides) under Nilaparvata lugens (brown planthopper). RNAcentral describes it as "uncharacterized LOC120350441". The record is from RNAcentral. Lineage: Eukaryota; Metazoa; Arthropoda; Insecta; Hemiptera; Delphacidae.
AGCAAUUUGUAAUAUAAUAACUAUAGAUAAUAAUCAUAUUGUUAUGCAUCUACAUAAAUUGGCGGAGCUUUGGACAUAUCAAUGUCCAUUCUUCAGAAAGAAUGAAUGAGAGAGGACAACAAGAUAAUUAUAGCGAAUCAUAACAUUCUAGAGGGAGUGAAUUAACAUCAAGAAAUAGUAUAAGAUCACAAUGUUAACAUUCAUGGAGAGUAAGCAUGAUGAGAAUAGAAUAAUAUUUUUUUUUUGAUAUGACAGUGAAUGAAAUCCAACUACUUAUUUAGAGAUAAGGCAGAACGAAGGAAGAGAUAACACAGACAAGUUAUUCUGAGAAAGUACUUAAAAGUGAUUGUUAAAAAUGAAAAGCAAGUAGAUUAUUUGAGUAACAAAUUAAGACUGGACUUUGCUUAUGUAGUAAUAUUAUUUUCUAUCAAAGGAAAAAUGGAAAGCUAUAGAUUAUAGCUAUAUUUGAGUAAUUAUGCAAGUAGGUAUUUAGAUAAGUGUAAGAGACAUGUAAAGACAACCUUGAGGUAUCCAAAAGAAGUUUACCCUACUUCCAAGUCAAAUGAAUUGAAAGUCGAAUCAUGAUUUAGAUUAUGUUGGUGAAAGCACAAGUGGCUAUAUACUAUAUUGUUGAGAGAAGCAGCGAUUAUUUGGUUCCUCUAUCAGGCAAGAAGCAUAAGCUACAACUAGAUGAGUAGAGUUUUUUUAAAGCCACAGAGACAUUCGGGGAACAGCAACUAGCAGAAUUUGAAAAAGAAAUACAAAUUUGAGAGAGAAACUUGAAGCAUUCACAUUAAGUGUAUUUUGAUCAUAGUGACUUGUGAUCAUAAUCCCUUACACUGUCAAAGGAGAUUUGUCUAUCAAGAGGAAUUUGUGUCAAAUGCUAUAACAAACAUAGAUUUUCUAUCAAUUGAGUUUCUGUCACAAGCAUGGAAAACCUUUUAUGGAAUACUGUAAUAACACCACAAUGCUGGGAAAUUAAGAUUACAAUAUUAGCACUCUGAUGUAAGUAAGAUACUCUUUGCUUGAGUAAACUUAACACUUUGCUUCAAGCAAUAGAAUAUUUUUGGUACAAAUUUUUUGUUGUCAGCAUCCAUUGUUAAACAAUAAAUAUGUCUAGGGAUUUGGUUAGUUAUGAGGAGACUUCUAUGUCUAGUUAGAUGUACAUUUUUCAACAUAAAUUAGAUUACAGUAAAUGAUCACCCUCCAGAUCAGUAUGAAUAGCUUUUUCAUCUCACUACUCUUAGCCCACACUGAAAGUUAGAGUGAAAAGUCGAGAGUGAAAAAACACAAUAGUAUAAUUUCAUUGGCUUUAGCUGUUGUACAAUAUUCUCACUCACAGUGUUAGAUAAUUUCUUCAUUUACUGUGCUUGGAGGAGAAGGAAAGUGUGAUAUUUCAUAGUUUGGAAACCACACUAACAAGAAAGACUUUGAGAAGCCAAACAUAGAUUUAUAAAAUUAGAAUCAAGCUGAGUGAAAAGAUUCAUGCAUGAGGAAAGAGAUACUGAUCGAUGUGAUAGUAUGAGUCAUUUCUCAAAUGAGUUAUUUAGAAAUAGUAUUGCUAACAGUUGUCACUAGUAGUUUACACCUAUGACAGUAGUAAACUCAUGAAAACAAAUGCAAAAGCAUAUAGUAUAGUUUCCCUACACUGUUUUGACAAACAAACAGAAACUUUAUUUUCUGUAACGAAUUUCUAAAAUUGAAUUUUAUAAUAUAGAUACUAUGCGAUUCAUCAGAUAUGUGACAAGGCUUGCUGCUGACACGGGUUAGAAUCAUUGUUGCAAAACAAAUCCUUCCAACGCCUACUGCAUUUUCCACGAGAUCAAUAGAUGAAUUUCAAUGAUCAUUCCAGUCCUAUCAUGGUUACAUUAAGUGUUAAAGCAUAAAAAAAACACACACACACACACACAUACAAUUUCUCUUUGGAUUAUAAGAAUCUGACUAAUAUAAUUUUCACAAAAUGCAAAGCUUUCAGUCUUUGAAGUUUGUAAUCCCUCCUCACACACACCAUGUGAUUGAUCCAAAAACUUGUCACAAGCACUGUUAUUGCGGUUUUGGUUAGCUCUAAGAUGAUAAUUUUUUCUCAGCUGAGCGUAUGCUUCUCUCUCUCUCUAUAACCUGAUGUGAUCUGCUGCGUUUGAAUUCAGUGUAUACUGUUACCAUCUUUGAUUCUGAAAGACAAUCGAUUAUGAGAACACCAGGAGUAAAUUUCUCUUCUUGUUUGUUUUGGCGAAAAUUGUUAUUCAUUCUACACUUGUCAUUUUCUCUCACUCUGACGAGUCUGUUAUUAUAUGAUUAUUAGAAUGAGCUAACAAAUAAUAUUAGUGGAAUGACAUUAUGGAAGAGGAGUAAUGAUCAAUGGAAAGAGAUGGGAGUCAACCUGUAGGAAAAUUUCAAUUCAAAAGGAAGAACCUGCGGAAUACCGAAUCUUGAAUGAUAUUGCAAAUAAAAUCCCACUCACCGAGCUUUUGCUUCUUCCUUUAUCAGAAAUAUUAGGAAAACUACACAUUUAUGUCGACUCAGUGCAUGUGCAAUCUGAGCAUAAAUUCAACCUUAAAUAUGCAAGUAUAUUAUCUGGAAGAUUACAGAAGUCUUGUCAUGUUUCAUACAAAUAGAGAGAAAACUUUUCUGUGUAGAUUGUAAAUUUUCUGGUGGGAGAGAGUGUGUCUGUGUUAUUUUUACUCACAGCAUAUGCUCCAAAAUCCACUCAACUUAAAAAAGAGAUCUAAUACUGAGUUGUUUUUCAUCAUGAUUUCAUGAUCUGAUAACAUGAGAAGCAAUCAGCAGAGUUAGAGUGGAGGAGUAGGAGGAGGAGGAGGAGGAAGAGGAGGGUGAGAAGGAGGACACAGCAAAUCAAAGGUACCAUUUACAAACAAAAUAUUGAAGAGAAUGUGCUCAAAGGAAAUGCAUAUGAAUUCAUUUUUGUUGACCAGGAUGGAAAAAUUCUUUGGAACCCAUAGAUAGAAUAAGUUAGUUAGGCCUAGUGGUGUACCAGCCAGAAGUAGAGGAUGACAAAGAAAAUCAGCUAUGAA